RNAcentral lists this unclassified non-coding RNA (200 nucleotides) under soil metagenome. Its description in RNAcentral is "partial contains internal transcribed spacer 2 and large subunit ribosomal RNA". The record is from RNAcentral.
UGUUCGAGCGUCAUAUAACACAACUCGCGCUCAGCGCGGUAUUGGGCUCGCCCUGUAGGGCCUGCCUCAAAAUCAGUGGCGGCACCGUCUGACCCUAAGCGUAGUAAUACUCGUCGCUUCUGGGCUUGGCCGGCUGCUUGUCAGCAACCCCCACCUUUUAGGUUGACCUCGGAUCAGGUAGGGAUACCCGCUGAACUUAA